AUUGAACGCUGGCGGCAGGCCUAACACAUGCAAGUCGAGCGGAUGAAGGGAGCUUGCUCCUGGAUUCAGCGGCGGACGGGUGAGUAAUGCCUAGGAAUCUGCCUGGUAGUGGGGGAUAACGUCCGGAAACGGGCGCUAAUACCGCAUACGUCCUGAGGGAGAAAGUGGGGGAUCUUCGGACCUCACGCUAUCAGAUGAUCCUAGGUCGGAUUAGCUAGUUGGUGGGGUAAAGGCCUACCAAGGCGACGAUCCGUAACUGGUCUGAGAGGAUGAUCAGUCACACUGGAACUGAGACACGGUCCAGACUCCUACGGGAGGCAGCAGUGGGGAAUAUUGGACAAUGGGCGAAAGCCUGAUCCAGCCAUGCCGCGUGUAUGAAGAAGGUCUUCGGAUUGUAAAGCACUUUAAGUUGGGAGGAAGGGCAGUAAGUUAAUACCUUGCUGUUUUGACGUUACCAACAGAAUAAGCACCGGCUAACUUCGUG
RNAcentral lists this ribosomal RNA (484 nucleotides) under uncultured bacterium. Its description in RNAcentral is "partial 16S ribosomal RNA". It matches the Rfam family "Bacterial small subunit ribosomal RNA", at positions 30 to 507 of the family's 1533-position model. The record is from RNAcentral.